AGUGAACGCUGGCGGCAGGCCUAAUACAUGCAAGUCGAACGGCAGCACAGUGGAGCUUGCUCCAUGGGUGGCGAGUGGCGGACGGGUGAGGAAUACAUGGGAAUCUGCCCAGUCGUGGGGAUAACGUAUGGAAACGUACGCUAAUACCGCAAUGCGCCCCUUCGGGGGAAAGUCGGGGACCGCAAGGCCUGACGCGAUUGGAUGAGCCCAUGUUCGAUUAGCUAGUUGGCGGGUAACGGCCCACCAAGGCGACGAUCGAUAGCUGGUCUGAGAGGAUGAUCAGCCACACUGGAACUGAGACA
Molecule: ribosomal RNA, 302 nt
Filed under: uncultured bacterium
Lineage: Bacteria
Description: bacterial SSU rRNA
Rfam family: Bacterial small subunit ribosomal RNA
Source: RNAcentral